RNAcentral lists this ribosomal RNA (444 nucleotides) under uncultured bacterium. Its description in RNAcentral is "partial 16S ribosomal RNA". It matches the Rfam family "Bacterial small subunit ribosomal RNA", at positions 338 to 795 of the family's 1533-position model. The record is from RNAcentral.
CCUACGGGAGGCAUCAGUGGGGAAUAUUGGGCAAUGGAGGAAACUCUGACCCAGCAAUGCCGCGUGAAUGAAGAAGGUCUUCGGAUUGUAAAGUUCUUUAGUCAGGGACGAAGUCCAUGACGGUACCUGAAGACUAAGCUCCGGCUAACUACGUGCCCGCAGCCGCGGUAAUACGUAGGGAGCAAGCGUUGUUCGGAGUGCAUGGGCGUAAAGGGUGCGUAGGCGGUUGUACAAGUUAGAAGUGAAAUCCCCAGGGCUUAACUCGGGUGCUGCUUCUAAAACUGUAGGACUUGAGUGCAGUAGAGGUGAGUGGAAUUCCUAGUGGAGCGGUGGAAUGCGUAGAUAUUAGGAGGAACACCAGAGGCGAAGGCGGCUAACUGGACUGCAACUGACGCUGAGGCACGAAAGUGUGGGGAGCAAACAGGAUGAGAUACCCCAGUAGUC